Tinamus guttatus (white-throated tinamou) is the source of this 251-nucleotide non-coding RNA. Lineage: Eukaryota; Metazoa; Chordata; Aves; Tinamiformes; Tinamidae. The record is from RefSeq and is a predicted model, not a curated record.
UCUUGCAGCCGAGCCCGAUACCGAGUCCCGUUCUGGGGAGGAAGCCGAACGCGAGUCAGUCUCUGCUCGUGUGGUGCAAAGAAGUUACCAAAAACUACAGGGGAGUGAAAAUCACCAACUUUACUACGUCGUGGAGAAACGGUUUGUCCUUCUGCGCAAUACUGCAUCACUUCCGACCAGAUCUCAUUGACUACAAGUCCCUGAAUCCUCAAGAUAUUAAAGAGAACAACAAAAAGGUAAGAACUGCCGGG